RNAcentral lists this unclassified non-coding RNA (352 nucleotides) under soil metagenome. RNAcentral describes it as "partial contains 5.8S ribosomal RNA, internal transcribed spacer 2, and large subunit ribosomal RNA". The stretch from base 1 to 120 matches the Rfam family "5.8S ribosomal RNA", at positions 35 to 154 of the family's 154-position model. The record is from RNAcentral.
GAUGAAGAACGCAGUAAAAUGCGAUAAGUAAUGUGAAUUGCAGAAUUCAGUGAAUCAUCGAAUCUUUGAACGCACAUUGCGCCCGCCAGUAUUCUGGCGGGCAUGCCUGUUCGAGCGUCAUUACAACCCUCAGGCCCCCGGGCCUGGCGUUGGGGAUCGGCGGAGCCCCCCGUGGGCACACGCCGUCCCCCAAAUGCAGUGGCGGUCCCGCCGCAGCUUCCAUCGCGUAGUAGCUAACACCUCGCGACUGGAGAGCGGCGCGGCCACGCCGUAAAACACCCAACUCUUCUGAAGUUGACCUCGAAUCAGGUAGGAAUACCCGCUGAACUUAAGCAUAUCAAUAAGCGGAGGA